This 938-nucleotide ribosomal RNA is filed under the name uncultured bacterium. RNAcentral's name for it is "bacterial SSU rRNA". It matches the Rfam family "Bacterial small subunit ribosomal RNA", at positions 8 to 970 of the family's 1533-position model. The record is from RNAcentral.
AGAGUUUGAUCAUGGCUCAGCCUGAACGCUGGCGGCGUGGCUAAGACAUGCAAGUCGAACGGGUGCAGCAAUGCAUCAGUGGCGAACGGGUGAGUAAUGUAUCGCUAACGUACCCUUGGGUCAGGGAUAGCCGGGGGAAACUCCGGGUAAUACCUGAUAAGACCACGAUCCCGCAUGGGAAUGUGUUCAAAGGAGCAAUCCGCGCAAGGAGCGGGCGAUAUCGUAUCAGCUAGUUGGUGAGGUAACGGCUCACCAAGGCGACGACGCGUAGCCGGGCUGAGAGGUCGGCCGGCCACAUUGGGACUGAGACACUGCCCAGACUCCUACGGGGGGCUGCAGUAACGAAUCUUCCGCAAUGCACGAAAGUGUGACGGAGCGACGCCGCGUGUGGGACGAAGCCCUUCGGGGUGUAAACCACUGUCAGGGGUUACCAAGAUCUGAGGAGCCCCAGAGGAAGGCACGGCUAACUCUGUGCCAGCAGCCGCGGUAAGACAGAGGUGCCAAGCGUUAGGCGGAAUCACUGGGCUUAAAGCGUGUGUAGGCGGGCGAUCAAGUACCUUGUGAAAUCCCACGGCUCAACCGUGGAACUGCUGGGUAUACUGGUUGUCUUGAGCCAGCUAGGGGCGAGCGGAACAGACGGUGGAGCGGUGAAAUGCGUAGAUAUCGUCUGGAACGCCGAAGGUGAAAACAGCUCGCUGGGGCUGCGCUGACGCUGAGACACGAAAGCCAGGGGAGCGAACGGGAUUAGAUACCCCGGUAGUCCUGGCCCUAAACGAUGUCCACUAGAUCGCGGGACUUUUGACGGUUUCGCGGUCGAAGCAAAAGUGCUAAGUGGACCGCCUGGGAAGUACGGUCGCAAGGCUAAAACUCAAAGGAAUUGACGGGGGCUCACACAAGCGGUGGAGCAUGUGGUUCAAUUCGAAGCAACGCGCAGAACC